AGUAAACUGCACGCUUUAGUUUUGAGCAUAAAACGCUGAAACCGGAGAAAUAAAACGUGCGAGGGGAACGAUAACGACGACAAGAGUCUCCCGAUCAUUUAUUCUCGCUGUCCUGUGAACAACACCGGCGUGGUGUUAAUUGUUUGCUGUUUUCGCGAUCGUGUCGAGCAUGAGGCUAUCACCAGCUCCUGAAACGCAAGUCUGCCACACAUCUGUUCGACCAACGCCAGUUGAUCUAAACGCCAGUUGAUCUGGAACACCGGAAGGCAUCCAAGCGUUUUAACAAGAGCACGAGUCAGAAACAUUACGUCCUGCAGAAGCGGCAAAGAAGGACCGAAGGUUGCCGCUACAAAUAAUAUUGUUAAGCUUCUGGAUUCAUCGCCUGUGAUACUGACACAUAGCCAGUGCUCCUGUGUGGCAGGUAGUGGUGGGCGGAUCGAUCCAAAUAUCAAUAGUAUCGAUCCCAAGUCGGCAUCGGUAUCGGAUCGAUACUAGCCUGGUGAGAUCGAUUCUUUACUUUGAGUUCUGCUUCUUUGCUAUGCUGUGCUUUCGGCAAAAACGAAACAACCAGAUCGCUGGACUUGCCGCUCCUGUGUCAGCGGAGAGCAGGCACACUUUGCUCCCUCUCCCCCAUUGUUAUGUUUCGGUGUUGCGCUGACACGUCACGUGACUUAGACACUUUGGGGGUUGUUAAGUUGUUUACAUAUUAAUUAUAUAUUUUGUUUUUGUUUUUGAGAAUUUUAAUUGUAACUUUUGUAUUAUAGUUUAUCAACAGUAUUUGUUUUAAUUUGUUUACUGGUUUGCGUGCACUUAAAAUAAAAAAAAAGCAUUUUCAUGCUUCGCAGCACCAUUUAUUCUUACAAUAUUCACAUGGUUGCUGUAACAGUAUAUUCAACGGCUUCAGCUCUCCCACUGGCAGCCAUACACAUCACCACCACCAAACCUGCAGCGGCAUCACAAAACACGCCCUGCCACAUAACCCCCUCGCCCGCUCCACCCCACCCCGCGAGCAGACGAGGGAAUCGGCCCGGACCAUCGGUGCCCAAUGCCCCAGCCCAGCGACGGGGAUGUGUCCACUCUGGCGGUUGCCCGUGCCUGAUGGCCACCCAUAUGGCAAGCAGCGGUGGCGCAGCAGGCGUGGAAAUGAGCUGGGGCUCACAGGCAGACAGCAGGACCAUGCAACCUGUGUGCCGAAGCGGACAGCAUGCUGCCCUCAGGCGUGGCAGGACCCCCGCACACCUCGACCAUCCUCGGUUUUACCCCAACCGGCAGGGGCUGCGACAUGCCCUAUGUGGUUUUGCUGGUCCAGGAGGAAGUAGGGGUGGACCGCCUUUUCUGUUGGGCACAGUUUUCUCAUGUUUAGUUAGUUAGGGAGGUAAGUGACUGUUGUUUUGUUAUGUUAUUUUGGGGCUAGGUAAGUACACGCUCCCGUGAGUUAGUUUCCCUUUUUGUUUGUUAUUUUGGCCUGGGUCCACCCCGAAGCCUGAGUGACUCCUGUGAUCUCUUUUCUUUGGUGUGUUUGUAAAUAAAACUGUU
Oreochromis aureus is the source of this 1536-nucleotide long non-coding RNA. RefSeq lists it as uncharacterized. The transcript has 3 exons. Lineage: Eukaryota; Metazoa; Chordata; Actinopteri; Cichliformes; Cichlidae. The record is from RefSeq and is a predicted model, not a curated record.